Molecule: transfer RNA, 72 nt
Filed under: Camelus bactrianus (Bactrian camel)
Lineage: Eukaryota; Metazoa; Chordata; Mammalia; Artiodactyla; Camelidae
Also listed under: 2 other names
Rfam family: tRNA
About the family: Transfer RNA (tRNA) molecules are approximately 80 nucleotides in length. Their secondary structure includes four short double-helical elements and three loops (D, anti-codon, and T loops).
Source: Rfam by way of RNAcentral
GUGGGUAUAGCUCAGUGGUAGAGCAAAUGCUUAACAUGUAUGAGGUCCUGGCUUUGAUCCCCAGUACCUCCA